AGAAUCAACGCUGGCGGCGUGCCUAACACAUGCAAGUCGAACGCGAGAGGGGCUUCGGCCCCAAUUGAGUGGCAAACGGGUGAGUAACGCGUGGGUGACCUACCUUCGAGUGGGGGAUAACGUUCCGAAAGGGACGCUAAUACCGCAUGACAUCCUGUUUUUUUGACAGGCGGAGAUCAAAGCCGGGGAUCGCAAGACCUGGCGCUUGAAGAGGGGCCCGCGUCCGAUUAGCUAGUUGGUGGGUAACGGCUCACCAAGGCGACGAUCGGUA
Molecule: ribosomal RNA, 271 nt
Filed under: uncultured soil bacterium
Lineage: Bacteria
Description: partial 16S ribosomal RNA
Rfam family: Bacterial small subunit ribosomal RNA
Source: RNAcentral